UCUUCUUUGAUCUGUGCAUCUAGGCAGACCAGGAACCAGUGUAGCGUCAUUUUUUCAACUACCUCUCCUCCGUCGAUAGACAUAUGUAAGCGCAUGUGACAUUCGUGUUUCCAAUUUGAAUUGUAUGAACUCCCAUCACUUCAAUUAAAAAUCAAGAACUCAUGAAAAGAACUAUAAUGAGUGAUGGAAGCUCACUCACUCUAAUUGACGGACGGGAACAAACUUCAAUCAGUGCAUAUGGUACACACCAAAAUUCUUGCUACGAGUCAAUCUUUCAUGCUACAGAAAUUGGCACAAAGAGAACAAUCUCUGCCCUGCCCCGAUUUAUCCAUUCGCAUAACACAGACACGCAAUUAUUCCUGCUACAUCACUCCUGAUUUGUAUCCCUCCGUUGCUUACUUGCCUUGCUAGAAAAUCAAUCGACUUCCAUUAUUGCAAUUCCGCAUUUAUGUCCGCUGACGAGGCUACAUGAACAUGAAAACGGUGCUCCAGUGAGAAAAUUUGAUGACUCGUGUAUAUGAUUUUGUCUCACAAUAAAGAACAUAUAUCCACACAAAAAAAGCAUAUUCAAGAUACA
This 577-nucleotide long non-coding RNA is filed under the name Hordeum vulgare. RNAcentral describes it as "long non-coding RNA (HVUL_LNC014411)". Lineage: Eukaryota; Viridiplantae; Streptophyta; Magnoliopsida; Poales; Poaceae. The record is from RNAcentral.